RNAcentral lists this long non-coding RNA (9933 nucleotides) under Homo sapiens (human). RNAcentral describes it as "HSALNT0359124". The record is from RNAcentral. Lineage: Eukaryota; Metazoa; Chordata; Mammalia; Primates; Hominidae.
CAGCGCAGGAGCUCUCAGACUACCUCAGAUGCCAAGAGCCUGGUUUGAAUACAAGCCUUGCCAUUGUGUGACUUUGGGCCAGUGUUUCCAGCCAUCAUGUCAGAGCUGAGUGGAGUGGCACUGGGUGCCAAGGCAAACACCCAGCCCAGCUGUGCUGGGAAGAACUGAGCUCCAAUGUGUCUUGUGACCCAGCUCCUCCCACCCACCUGGCUGUGUCUCCUAUCCUGCAGAGAUUUCUGGGGGCUGUUUCCAGUAAACAGAGUGCCAGCACCCACUAACCUGUAAAUAGCACCUUGUUCAGGGGGAGUGAUAUUCUUUGACUGUAUGAUUUGGGGCCUUGCUGCUCAAAAUGUGGUCAGCAGCAUUGACAUCACCUGGGAUCUCAUUACAAAUGCAGAAUCUCAGACCUCACUCCAGAUGUGCUGGAUGAGAAUGGCCAUUUUCACAAGCUCCCCAGGAUAUGUGUGCCUGUUAAAGUUUGAGAAGCACUGAUCGGAGGACUUCGGUUAUAAUCCCACCUCCUUCUAUAAGUGAUUAAAGAAAAUUCACUUAUACUCUCCUUUGAACAGCUGUAUGCUUCUCAAUUUCUCUCUCUCUCUCUCUCUCUCACACACACACACACACACACACACUUUAUUUUUCAAUCUCUAUAGACUUGCUUCUUUGUAAGGCUCUCAAUUUCUCCUCCCCAGUGACACAAGCUUGCAUGUGGAUAUAGCUCGUCAUGGUGCCUAUUUAUCUUCAACUUUAUGCAACCUUAGCACUCUUUUACUCAGAAACCUUUUGACUGGGAGAGCAGGGCAAACUCAAAUCCCUACAGAGACCAGGAAGGCAGCAUGGAUGAGUGCAGAAAGCUACAUUUGUUUCAGAAAGGAAUCAGUGUAUAUUCUUUCAGCAGACACAUUUAGUUUGUUUCUUAUAAGCCACUAGAAGAGUCAUUACUUUCACAAAGUCAUAUGCUUAUUCCCAUUUUUCAUAAAAUAUGGCCUAUCUUCAGUUUUCCCAGUUUUGAUACAGAAAAAAAUAUAAGAAAGAUUUUCUAUUUCCUAUAACUAUAAAAGCCCACUAAUAGCACCAGCACAGCCACCCCUGGGCUUCACACAGGGAGUGGCAGGAGCUGUGCAGAUGGAGAGUGCAUACUGGUGUGAAGGGGGCAAUGGAUCUCAGCUCCAGCCAUUGUCUUCAUGCAGGAAUUUGGGACCAUUUUACCGGAUCCUCCCAUUUCUUCAAGAGAAGCCGGAAAUCUGGAUUUCUAUGUGAAAUCUCCCACUUUUUUAUGCUGGCAACUAAUUUUCUUUAAACACUGUGCCAAACAAAACAUACCUGCAGGCCAAAAUCUACACCCUCUGGGCUGGAUUUCAAUGUCUCUUAAACUCUCAACAGAGAGCAUCUUACUGUUUCAGUUCAGGGUAGAUGUCUACCCAUGGUCCCAUCGAGUGGGGUCUGGAUAUGGAAUCAGCUAGAAGAAGCAUAGUCUAUGCCCAUUCUUUCAGCAGGGACUGUGGGCAGGAAACCAUUUCCAAAGAAGCAGGCAUGAGUUGGUGGCCAUACAAAUAUAUAUGUUAUAUUGAUAAAUAUAAAAACAGGAGAUUCUGGGGGACCACAAGUUUUUACAAAUUAGGCUUAUUUUAGGAUAAAUUCACCCUUGUUAGUGUGCAGUUCUGUGAGUUUUGAUAUACAUAUGCAGUCAAGUAACCACUCCCACAAUUAAGAUACAGAAUAAUUCCAUCACCCCCCAAAUUUCUUGUAUGCCCCUUUAUAGCUAGCCCCUGACCCUAACCUCUGGCAAUCACUAAUAUAUUCUCUUUUUCUAUAGGCUUGCUUUUUUUCAAAAUGUCAUAUACAUGGAAUCACACAGUUUAUAGCCUUUUGAGUCUGGCUUAUUUUACUCAGCAUAAUGCCUUUGAGCUUUAACCAUGUAAUUUCAUGUAUCAGUAGUUCAUUCCUAUGUAUUGCUAAGUAAUUUUCCACUGUAUAGAUGCACCACAGUUUGUUUAUCCAUUCACCAAUUAAAGCCAUAAUCAACUUCCAUGUAGAAGUUUGUGUGUGAACACAGUUUUAAUUUAUUUGGGGUUACUACCUAGGAGUGAGAUUCUGGGUCUUAUGGUAAGCAUACAUUUUACUAAGAAACUAUAAAACUCUUUUCCAAAGUGGCUGAACCAUUUGACAUUUCUAACAGCAAUAUUUGAAAGUUCCCAUUGCUCUGUAUCCUCUCCAGUACUUACAUGCUCAGCAUUUUGGUUUGGUCUGGUUUCAUUGUUUCUGAGCUCUUCUGAUAGAUGUGGAGUACACCCCCAUUUUGGAUGAAUUGUGCCAAAUGUGUAGACCAUCCUCAAAAUCUAAGGUCUCAGUAAAAACAAUUAAACAUGAUUUCUGAUAUAAUGUCUUAUCCUUGAAAACCCUGACCCAUCCAUCUUCAGCACAUUCACAUGUGUAAUAAGGUAAGUGAUUUUUAAUUCCACCAGGUUUAAAGACCCCUGACGUGACUUAUUGCCAUUCUGCUACUGAGCCUUGAGAGAUUAUGGUAAGUGCCAAGAAAAAAAAAAUGACUUUGAACUGCUCUUUCACCAGUUAAAAAUAACACUGAAACCAAAUGUAAACAUAAAAGAAGUGGUCAGAUUCGGGUUACAUAUUAACGGUGUUUGGUCAGGCUGGAGCUGAGGCACAGCAGCAGAGAAUGCCUUUUACUUAUCACUGUUUCCAAACCUCCCUACCUGGACUAGGCUUGACUGGAUUUACAAGAGACCUUUUGAAAAGAUGCAGAGAAGGCAAGCAGCACACAUUUCCUGGUAAUAAAUUUUAAAGGUUGCUAAAACAUUCCAGAGAUUUUCACUCAACAUUCCUCUGGCCAACACAUCUGCAAUCUGCCAAUCCUUAAAAAUAGGUGUUUUUGCAUUUUAAUCUCACAAACAUCUUUGAAAAUGCAUUUCUUCUCUGCCCCUGUGUUGGACAAAUCCAGCUUUUUCCAUUUUCUAAAAACCACAGAAAUAUAAUGCUGCUUAAUUCAUACAAGACUGAGCUAACUGGAGUUAAAAUAAAAUUUCUGAGAGUUUGUUUGGCUCACUCUUCCCUACCAGAUGAUUCCAUUCUUAAAACGGUCCUGUGAUUAUAUUCUCUCAUUACAGAGGUGUCCAGAAAAAAAAUAAGGAGUGCAGUUCUGAAAUUAUAUAAAAGCAAAAUUAUUACUCUAAACGUAAGAGCUGUGAUAGAUCGUGUCAUUGACCAUGGUUCUUUUCCCCUGACACACACGUCCCCACCACCCACCCACUGUAUCCAUAUGCCUUUUGCCAUAUGACUUUGCAGCUCUCCCCACUAAAGGGGCAGCCAUGCGAUUUGCUUUGGCCAAUGAAAUGAGGCAGUAGUGGUGGUAUCCUAGUUCUGAGCCUAGGUCUCAAGAAGUCUUAUGUGUUUCUGCUUAUCCUCUUAUACCUCUGCCAUCACCAUGAGCCAAACAUCCCCCAAGUAGCCCACUGGUCCCAGGACAAGGAGGGAGACAUGAAGCAGAGCUCAUCCAGCUGCUGCAGCCCCACUUGACCCAGAGACCUACACUGGGAAGCAGAGCUGCCCAGUCAAGUCCAACCUGGAUGUGUGGAACCCCAGCCAACCUGAUGCAUGAGCACUCACGGCAUUGGAAGACAUCAUAAACAUUAAUGGAGAGCGGGAUGCCAGAAUAAGUUGAUCCAAAUGAUGCAGGAAUAUUUAGCAGCAAGGAGAAAGGAAUUCACAUUUCUCAGUACCCACUAUGUGCCAUACUUUGUGAUAAGAUGGUUUCCCUCCAAUAUAUCCUCAUUGUCAGCAAUGUCGGGAAACAGGAAUCAUUUCCCCUUCUACAGGUGAUAAAACUGAAGCAAGAAACAUACAGGCUAACAUCAGCUGAGCUGAGAUUUGAACUCCACUCUUUUUGACCCUGGAGCUGAUGAAUGCUGCUUCUAGAGGUUGAGUAUCCCUUAUCCGAAAUCCUUGGAACCAGGAGAUUUUUGGAUUUGGGAAUAUUUGCAUAUACAUAAUGAGAUAUCUUGGAGAUGGGACCCAAGUCUAAAUACAAAAUUAUUUUGUUGUAUAUACACCUUGUACACAUAGACUGAAGAUAAUUUUAUACAAUAUUUUAAAUAAUUUUGUGCGUGAAACAAAGUUGUGACUAUGUCUUGACUGUAAGACAUCUUGCAUGCAACCCAUCAUAUGAGGUCAGGUGCAGAAUUUUCCAUUUGUGGUGUCAUGUUAGUGCUCAAAAAUUUUCGGAUUUUGGAGCACUUCAGACUUUCGUUUUCCAGACGGGGGAUGCUCAACCUGUCUUAGAACCUGUGGUCUCCCAUCAUGCCUCCCUUCCCCAUUCCCUUGCUCCACUGGGGUCUGAGGUGGGAAAGCAAAAGGAGUUGCAGGUAACCCUCACUUUUCACACCAGGCAAUCUCUCCCCACAAUCUGUCACAUUCCUGAAGAACAAGGAAGCAGAGCACUCCACUGAAGAAAUUCUGUUAAAAUCUAUCCCCAACGUAUAAGCAUCCAUCUUUGUCCCAGUCUGGGUCUAACAUGAACAAAGUGCUUAAACAAUUCAGUAGAGGAGAAAGGGAACUUGGAGCAGCUCUGUCACCCUGAAGUGACACUGCCAUGCUGCAUUUCCUGUCUGUAAUAUCUCUUCAGAGCAAUUGUUUUCUUCUGUGAGGACACUUCAGAGAUUCACAGAGACAGAUGCUCUUGUGACUGACCAUAGCAAGUAUCAAAAGGCCUGGGUGGAAUUACGAAGCAUUUCUCGUGCACUGCGUAUUGGGAAGUGCUUCACAGCUGUGUGGCAGAUGUGAGUGGACAGAGGGGCAAGGGAACUGCCCCAAAGGAGGUGGCAGAGGAAGCAACAAGCCAGGGAUUGGCUGGCCGGUCCCAGCACAGCAACUGCAGCAGCAGCUUGCUAAGUUUCACAGGUGAAGCCAAAGGCUGGGGGGAAUGGAAAACAAAUAUCACUCCAUUAAAUUAAGGUCUGAGGAAAACAUGAUGAGGAAAGUCAAUAGUGAAUCAAAACAUUGAAAAGCCACUAACUUUGACUUUCCAUGUGCGUGUGCAAGUUCACGUGUGCAUGUGUGUCUGCAUGUCCAAGUUCUACACUGAUUCAAGAAAUAAUUAUAGAGGGCCUGCCAUAGGAUGGUGAGCAAAACAGUCUUGGCCUCUGUCCUGAUGGAGCAUGCAGUAUCACAGACUCUAUAUGUUCUAUUUCUAGGCCUUGUAUUUUGAGGAUAUAUGCCAGUGGAAUGAGAAUGGCUCUGUGACCUUGUUUAAGUCCCACCACUGUCUCAGGCAGGGUUUUCCAAAGUGUAGUCCUUAUACUAUUAUGUGGUGAAGAUGCUUAAUUGUUUUGUAAUUAUUUAAUGUGCGUAGGUAUCACAUCAAACCCAGUAUUUUCAAGGAUUUUUAUAGCUUAAGACAAGGCUUGUUAUAGGCAAGGUGGAUCAAUUCAAAAAAUAUAUGCUAACAAAAUAAUAGUGGAGGUGGUACAAAGAAACAGCAAAGGUAGUGAGAUGGCUUCACUGGUGUUUGUGAAUCACCAAGAUAAUGCACGUGGAAAUAAAAAUCAGUGUGGUCCAUAGAAAUACAAGGGGUUCUAAUUACCCCUCAGUGAGCACUUGCUCUCUCACUCACCCCAGCAAUGACAUAUUAAGCAAAGCACUGCCCUGACUGCAUAUGCUCUUGCCGACAACUUGGCCAGCAUUCAGAAGACACUAAGUGUGCUCUGGGAACUUCAGAAGGCACUAACAUUCCAUGGAGAACUUCACAAAGAGUGAGACCUAGUCCCUGGCCUAAAGAGAGUAUAAUUUAGUAGGAAAGAGAAGACAAACACACAAAUAACUGUAAAAUGGGAUAAGCCCCAAAGUGGAGGUACAAAGUCCCAUAGAAGAGGCUCAAUGAUAAGUCACGCCUGCCGGGUAAGGUCAAGAAAGACUUCAUGGAGAUUUGAGAUGGCAUCUGAGAUAAGCCAGGAAAGACGGUAGAAUUUCAACAACCAAAAAAGUGGGGAGAGGGAUGGGAGGCAUUCCAGAGAAGGAGAAAUGCUUGAGCAAUGGUACAGAGACCAGGAAGUUAUAUGAGGGCAGAAAGUCCCUGCUGUCUAUUUAGCUGGGAUAUAGAAUGCAAGUCAGUUAGAUGAUUAGGUGGGGUUAUAACAUAACUAGCCUUAAAUAGUGGACUGAGAAUUUUCCACUUAAUUUAAUGCAAAUGGCAGGGGAGGGGGCAGGCAAUGGAGAGCUGAAAACAGGACUGGAGAUGCGCUGGAGGGAAGUAACCCUGGAAAUGGGUGAAGUACGGGUUACUGUCACCCCAGCUCUGGUUCUUGUUAUUCCCUAGGAGAAGCAUAAUAGAAGUGUGAAUUUAGGGUAGCCAAAUGAUGACUUUGCAGAGGGAAUCUUUAGGACUUGUGACUUGAUUAAAAGCAGGGAGAUGGAUAGGGAACGUCCAAGGAUAACUAGAUAACUAGAGCUCUCCUGUUCCUCUGACUCAUGUGUGCUGAAACUGUAGAGUCAAACAAACACUUGUAAGUGGCGUGAUGUAAAUCCCUUAGGGGCCCAUGCCUGCCUCAAGAGAAGAACGUGUGGUCAGGAAAAACGACCGGGGGAAGUGAAAACGACACAAGACCCAGAGGAUAACCCUUAUUUUAUUCACACAUGCAAAUUUAGGCACAGCAAAAAGCAAAACGAAGUAUACCAAAUGUCAAGGGUUAAUUAUUAAUCAUUUCUAUAUUAAAUUAUGAGUUUUUCAGUAAGACACUUUUUGAUAAGAAACUUGAAUUACGUUCAUAACCAUCAAAAUAAAGAAAAUAAAAGAGACAGAUUUUCUUUGGUGGUGGGAGAACAUUAAGUAUUGUGGAAGCCUGAAAAAUGGUCCCCAAAAGAAUCUGGUCCUAAUCCUUAGAACUUGUGAGUAUUAUCUUACUUGGAAAAAGGGUUGUUUUAAGAUAAGGAUCUUGAGUUGGGAAGAUUGUCCUGAGUUAUUCAGGUAGGCUGUAAAUGCCAUCACAGGCAACCUUUUUACAUGGAUAUUUGACACAGAGUGGAGGAGACACCCAUAGGAGAAGGCUAUGUGAAGACAUAGCAUCGAGACACUUGAAGAUAUUGGCCUUCAAAUGGCACAGCCACAAGCAAAGGAAUGCCAGCAGCCACCAGGAAAAAGCAAAGAAUGGAUUCUCACCUAAAGUCUCCAGAGGGACUGUAGAGUAUCCUGCCAACACCUUGAUUUUGACUCUGUGAAACUGAUGUCAGGCUUCUGGCCUCCAGAACUGUGAGAGAAGAAAUUUCUGUUGUUUUAAACCUUCGAAUUUGUGGUAAUGUGUUAGAGCAGCCACAGGAAACUCAUAUUCUAAACUAGCAACUAUGAAAUGAGAAUUUCUAGUGUUCAGCUAAGAUACCACCGCAGAAGCAGCUGGAUAAUAUCAGAUGAGCCGAAAACUUCUCUUACCCCAUUUCCUUAUCCAUAAAAUUAGCAAAUAAUACCUGUCUUGCAGAGUUAAUUUUAAAGUUAUACAAGUAAAUACACUUUGAAAGUGACAAGUACUAGAAAAAUGUAGGGAAUUAUCCUACAAGUCUGGGUAUCCCCACCACCCAAGGCACAUGAAUGAUGCACAAUAAAAUAUACAAUUGGUUAGAAAUAGAACAAAGUGUUGAAAGUGCUUCAAAGCUCGAAAUGUAGGGCAUGAGGAAUGAAGGAAAUUCAGUUCAGGAAUAAAAUAUUUAUUCAGCAUCACUAAUAAGCCAGGCACUCUGCCAGAACCCAAAGGUAUAAAGAGGAACAAAUGAUAAUUCCUGCCCUGUGGAUGGCUUAUAGUCUAGGGUAGCAUUUUUACAGUGUGUUCACAGACCACUAAGCUCUCAAAUUUCUAUUUAAAGAUGCCAAAGGACCCAAGAUCAAGUGCUAUAUUCUAAUAUCUACCCUCUCCAUUUCCUACCCCCUCCCACAACCACACUUUCUGUAGACUCACAAUGUGUUAGUUAAUUUAAGGCAUUGAGUCCUGUUGUUAAUAAGCUGACUUGCCCUUAAUUAUCACAGGCUUUUCCAAAUUUCCUUGACAUGCACUAACCAUUUAACCUUGGGGAAAAGAAUGGAAUAACAUUCUUGCCUGCCUGUUGUAGCUGUCAUCAUAUUUAAAUGUAAUAAAACAUGGAAAGUGUUUAAUAAUUAUGGUGCUCUAGGCAAAAUAGCAGUCCUUCAAAAAUGCCCAUGCCCUAAUCUCCAGAACCUGUGAAUAUGUUACCUGACAUUGUAAAGCAACCUUGUAGGUGUGAUUAAAGUUACAAGCUCUGAGAAGAGAAAAUUACUCUGGAUUAUCUGGGUGGGCCCAGCUUAAUCAUAUGAACCCUUAAAAGUGGAGAAUGUUUUCCAGCUAAGGUCAGAGAAAGAGACUUGACAAAGGAAGAAGGGUCAUAGGGAUGUGAUACCGCUAGCUUUAGAGAUGAAGGAAGAGGACCACAGCCAAGAAAUGUGGGUAGCCUCUGAACACAAUACAAGGCAAGGACACGGGCUCUCUCCUUGAGCCUCUAGAAGGAGCACAGCCAUAAGGCAUUCUUAAACUAUGUCGCUUACCUUACCUACCUCAUCCACUUACUACUUGUAUGGCUAAUGGCAUGAGGAAGUCACUAAAACUCUCCGAGCCUUCCUGGCCUCCACUUAAAUGGGAGUGGUACCCACAGAGGGUCAGGAGGCUCAAUCAAAUCUCAAAUUCAUUAUCUCUUGCUUCUCAUGCACAAGUCAGUGUCAGCAGGAGGCAUCAGUGCUUCUGCAAAAAUAACUAAUUCAACAUUACUUUGUCAGAUCACAACCCUUCUUUGCUAAAACCUUCCAGAGGCUCCCUGUCUCACUCACAGAACAACCUCAUGGACUUCCUCUGUUCUCAGGAUUCUCAUGACACAAUAUGACCCCAUUUCCUCUGACUAUAGGUCCUUCCUCUCUCCCCCUUCCUGAUGGUGCUCCAGCCAUACUGGCCACCUUGCUGUUCCUGAGGCACACCAGGCAGCUUCCAGCCUCAGGACAUUUGCACUUGCUGUUUUCUCUGCUUAGAGCCCUCUUCCCCCAUAUCCACAUAGCUUGCUCCCUCAACUCCUUUAGAUCUUCAUUCGGCUAUUACCUUCUUCCUGAGGCCUUCCCUAACAACCCUAUGAAAAUUGCAAUACCUGCCAGCCAAACAUUCCCCAUCCUCCCUUCACUUUAAUUUCCGCCAUAGUAAUUUCAUCUUCUCACAUGCUGCAUAUUUAACUGUUUUGUUUACUUUCUUUCCUCCAUUGGAAUAUAAGCUCUAUCAGGGCUUUUCAUGAAGGACAUGCAAGUAGAUGCUUGAUAAAUAUUUGUUGGAUAAAUAAAUCAGUGCAUAUACCAAUCUGAAGUCACAAAAUCAAUAUGAGCAUCACCUUCCACUAAAGACAUAUCCUUUCAGUUAUCGAUGAAAAAUGAAGUUGAAAACACAAUAAUCAGCCUGUCAUUGAACAAUGCAGCUGCAGCUAAGAUCAAGUUCUUGACUGACUUUGCCGAGCCCAACCAAUUCAAAGGAAGAAUAAAAACAUGGUCAAGGGACCCAAGACCCAGCUCUUAUCCCCUACUCAGAGAAAACCCAGAGAGAACCAGCCUUCUGAUGUCUUGUCCUUCCUGGUUUUGACCAACCUCUAAAAACCAUAAGAACAGUUUGUCUCAGUAUUUCAGUACUUCCGCUUCCAGGCCCAGGAAAGAGCAGGAAGUGCAGGGGCGUGUGAAAAUCAAGAAAAAAGAAGAAUUAAACCCGCUACACAUGAAGCGCUCAAAGACUUCCUCUGUAACCUGUUGCAGCACACGAGUUUCAAUGUGCUUUCACUGAGAGCCCAGGGGGACUGUGCUGUCCCCAGAAUUUCGCACCAUGCCCCACACUCUCAAUGAACACUUGUUGCCUAAAAAAAAAAAAUUAAAUUUUAAGACCUUCAGUUUCUCUAUUU